Molecule: RNA transcript, 2796 nt
Organism: Helianthus annuus (common sunflower)
Lineage: Eukaryota; Viridiplantae; Streptophyta; Magnoliopsida; Asterales; Asteraceae
Gene name: spastin-like
Exons: 13
Source: RefSeq, a predicted model, not a curated record
UUCUGAGCUUAUGAACUCUCUCUCUCUCAUGGAUCCAAAUCAAGAAACGAUUAUUUGUUAUCUCUCUCUACUCUCUCUCUUCGAUGAAGAAUACAAAGCAUCCGAUAUACCCGUUCUUUGUUUUGUUGUUAGCUGGGUUUGUUUUAGUUUCAAACGAUUGAACAAAUCUUCAACAUGAGCAGACGCUUAGAAACCCUAACUUCUGGAAGAUCAAAAGGCAGAGGUUCAGAAUUUGUUCAUCGAAACUGAAGAUGAUGCAGUUGCUUCCGGUUCCGUUUCCUCCACCAAUAACGCCUCCAGAUGAUUUGGUUGACUCAUUGAUGAACAUUAUUCGCCACCGUGAAACAGAAUACCUGACUUCCCUACAGGUUGAUUCCUUUGCUACUUCUCAUGAUAGUGAAACUCAUGAAGCUACCUGUAGAAUCUUGUCGGUCAUAUUACGUCAGAUUGAUGGGUUCGAGCAGGACAAAAAAGUGGUCGUGAUAGCUGCAACCAAUAGAAAACAAGAUCUUGAUCCUGCUUUACUAAGUCGGUUUGACUCCAUGAUAACUUUUGGCCUACCUGAUCAACACACUCGUCAGGAGAUAGCAGCUCAAAAUAUGCAAAACACUUAACAAAGACUGAGUUAGUUGAAUUUGCUGCAGCUACUGAAGAAAUGUCUGGAUGAGAUAUUCGAGACGUGUGUCAACAAGCAGAGAGGCGUUGGGCGUCAAAGGUUAUACGAGGUCAAGUACAGAAAGAUGAAGAUGGUGCUUCUCUUCCACCACUCCAAGAGUACAUCGAGAGCGCUUUAGAACGACAUAAGUUAAAGUAGAUGGACUUAAGCUUAGCCGAGGAAGUUGUUGCGGUGGAUGACGGUACGGAUCCGGUCAUCGGAAGUUUUGUUCCGGAGCGUGAUUACUUCAAUGAGUUGUUUGAAGACCAUGAACUAAAUCCUGAAGUUCCUAAAAGCUUACCUAUUUGUGAUAUAAGGUAUUCGGAAUUGAUACUGUGUUUGGAUAGACAUCUUAUAUAUCAAAUGAAGUUGAAGCUUAAUUUGAUUUUAAUGGGGCAUUAUGAGCGGCAUUGUCCACCUACGGCGAGGAGUGCGAUGUUUGGAACAGUGAUAUGGCCUGCAGCUGAAUAUGGAAGAACAAUGUGAUGGAUUUAUUUACCAGACUGACAUGAUACAUGGAUGGAACAGAUGAAGAAUUUAGAAAGCACACUUGAGAGAGUGAAGGGGUCGCUUGAAGCAAGGAUAAAAAGGAAGACGAACUGUAAGUUGUUCCAUAUAUAGAAAGUAACCUUUCUAACUACUGUUUUAUCAAUUGUUACUAAUCUGUUUAUGUGUAUGUAAAACAUGAUUAUCCGAAGCCAAAAAAGAGCAAAGACAGUCCGACGGAAACCUAAUUUCACAGAUUCUUUUCAAUUCAAACACAUUUUUCGCUAAUUAUUCUUCCAAAUCAAAUUUGUACUCCGGUAAGUCUUUAGUUUCGCAAAAUUUCUAUUUCUAGGGUUUGUUAUUCAUUCAAACGAAAAGUGUUAUUUUGGUUAGGUAUAAUAGGCAUUAUGUGCUAUUGGUUUGAACUUUAGUUGAAUAAAGUUAAGUAAUUUACUCCGAGUAAUUGUGAAUUUAGAGUAAUUGUUAAAAUAAAACAGUCGUUGAUACAUCUGUUGACAGUCAACAGAUGGAUGAACAGAUGUUUAAAACCACUGUUGGGUUAAAAUAGUGUUUUGUGUAGAAAAAGUGAAACCACUGUUUUGGGUUAAAACAUAUGUUAGAAACAUUGUUUUGGGUUAAAAUAGAUGUUUGAAAAUAAAACAGUGUUUGAAACAACUGUUGGUUUAAAACAUUGUUUUAACCACCUUUGAACCACUGUUGGGUUAAACAGAUAUUAGAACCAGUGUUUUGGGUUAAAACAGAUGAUAGAAAAUAAAACAGUGUUAGAACAGUGUUUUGGGUUAAAACAGUGUUUUGGGUUUGAAGCAAUGAAAGCUGCAGAGAAACAGUGUUAGAGCAGUGUUUUGGGUUAAAACAACGUUAGAAACAGUGUUUUGGGUUAAAACAGUGUUUUGGGUUUGAAAUAGUGUUUGAAGCAAUGAAGGCUGCAGAGAAACUUCAAAGUAAUUUACAGUCUGAAUAUCCCUCUUUUGUAAAGUCAAUGGUCCGUUCUCAUGUGUUGUGUGGUUUUAUCAUUUAUAGUACAGAUGGAUACCAAGAGGGCUAUAGGCUAUUGCUAAACUAAGAGAGGAGAACAUUUAGUUUGCAAACAGGUGCCUGAGACAUGAAAAGCCAGAAGAAAACCCUUCCGCUUAACAAAGAUAAAUUUAUCUUAAAGAUGUUUAUUCGGGGUGAGUCGAUUAUCAUUGUCCUUAUCGGUCCCAAAUGAAAGUUGGAACGAACAAUUCUCGGUGAAACCGGUGAGACAAUCAUUGACUAACCGACUAGAUCUGAACCAAACAGUAACUGAAUUGAUCCUGGAAUAGAAUAGCGACUCCGAAAGUUAAUAUGUUUGUCUCGAGAGCAAUCGAGGGGAAGAUUCCAACUAUGAAAGCUUUGGCGAACAAGGGCAUAUAAGUACAGAAUUCAUUAUGUGUGUUAUGGGUACAGCAGACAAGAUAGUAGAUCAUGUGUUGGUAGAUGCAGCCUUGCAGAUAUGAGAGGAUUAGAGAUGCUUCAAUGUAAUCUGUUUUGAACUUGCUCUACAACAUGGUUUCUAUAACAACUUGAACUUGCUCUACAACAUGGUUUCUAUAACAACUUGCUGUAGGAGCUUUUUUUUUGUUUUUGAAUGAAAUUUCCUUUGCCUUUCUUUA